GUACGAACGCUGGCGGCGUGCUUAACACAUGCAAGUCGAGCGGUAAGGCCCUUUCGGGGGUACACGAGCGGCGAACGGGUGAGUAACACGUGGGUGACCUGCCCUCAGCUCUGGGAUAAGCCUGGGAAACUGGGUCUAAUACUGGAUAUGACUCCACGGUGCAUGUCGUGGGGUGGAAAGCCUUGUGCGGCUGAGGAUGGGCCCGCGGCCUAUCAGCUUGUUGGUGGGGUGANGGCCUACCAAGGCGACGACGGGUAGCCGGCCUGAGAGGGCGACCGGCCACACUGGGACUGAGACACGGCCCAGACUCCUACGGGAGGCAGCAGUGGGGAAUCUUGCGCAAUGGGCGAAAGCCUGACGCAGCGACGCCGCGUGAGGGAUGACGGCCU
This 389-nucleotide ribosomal RNA is filed under the name uncultured bacterium. RNAcentral's name for it is "bacterial SSU rRNA". It matches the Rfam family "Bacterial small subunit ribosomal RNA", at positions 27 to 417 of the family's 1533-position model. The record is from RNAcentral.